GAUGAACGCUGGCGGCGUGCCUAAUACAUGCAAGUCGAACGCUGGAACUCUAGCUUGCUAGAUUGAAGGAGUGGCGAACGGGUGAGUAAUACAUAAGCAACCUACCCACGAAGACUGGGAUAAUCUCUGGAAACGGGGACUAAUACCGGAUAGGUAAUCGGAAGGCAUCUUCUGAUUAUUAAAGGCUAAAAACACUGGUGGAUGGGCUUAUGGCGCAUUAGUUAGUUGGUGAGGUAACGGCCCACCAAGACGAUGAUGCGUAGCCGGCCUGAGAGGGUGAACGGCCACAUUGGGACUGAGACACGGCCCAGACUCCUACGGGAGGCAGCAGUAGGGAAUUUUCGGCAAUGGGGGAAACCCUGACCGAGCAACGCCGCGUGAGUGAUGACGGCCUUCGGGUUGUAAAGCUCUGUUGUAAGGGAAGAACGGUAGAUAGAGAAUAUCUAAAUGACGGUACCUUACCAGAAAGCCACGGCUAACUACGUG
RNAcentral lists this ribosomal RNA (486 nucleotides) under uncultured bacterium. RNAcentral's name for it is "partial 16S ribosomal RNA". It matches the Rfam family "Bacterial small subunit ribosomal RNA", at positions 28 to 507 of the family's 1533-position model. The record is from RNAcentral.